AAUCCUUCCGUCCCAGA
RNAcentral lists this transfer RNA (17 nucleotides) under Aegilops geniculata. Its description in RNAcentral is "partial tRNA-Gln". Lineage: Eukaryota; Viridiplantae; Streptophyta; Magnoliopsida; Poales; Poaceae. The record is from RNAcentral.